Molecule: ribosomal RNA, 437 nt
Filed under: uncultured bacterium
Lineage: Bacteria
Description: partial 16S ribosomal RNA
Rfam family: Bacterial small subunit ribosomal RNA
Source: RNAcentral
CUACGGGGCGCUGCAGUGAGGAAUAUUGCACAAUGGGGGGAACCCUGAUGCAGCAACGCCGCGUGGAGGAUGACGCAUUUCGGUGUGUAAACUCCUUUUAUAUGUCAAGAAAAUGACGGUAGCAUAUGAAUAAGCACCGGCUAACUCCGUGCCAGCAGCCGCGGUAAUACGGAGGGUGCAAGCGUUACUCGGAAUCACUGGGCGUAAAGGACGCGUAGGCGGGUUGGAAAGUCAGGUGUGAAAUCCUACAGCUUAACUGUAGAACUGCACUUGAAACUUCUAAUCUAGAGUAUGGGAGGGGGAGAUGGAAUUAGUGGUGUAGGGGUAAAAUCCGUAGAUAUCACUAGGAAUACCUAAAGCGAAGGCGAUCUCCUGGAACAUUACUGACGCUAAGGCGUGAAAGCGUGGGGAGCAAACAGGAUUAGACCCGCGUAGUC